ACUGGACUCACACCAGAACACACACACACGUGUAUUUGGUUCUGGAGCGGGUGCAUUUUUUCCCUGUGAGACGUGUUGGACACGAGAGAAGAGAAGAAACAUGGACGAUCCACAUUCUCUCACACACGUCAGAGUCACUUCACUCACUCAAACUCCUGGAAGGGACAAGAAAACACAUCCUCCAACUGCCGGUGAUUGACAUGCUGUGUUGAUUUUCUCAUUACUCACACACACACACACACACACACACACACACUGGAAGCCAUUUAAAAAUAAUAGCAUAUUCCUGCGCUAACUUGCACUCAGGCACACGCGCCACGGAAAUGUCAAAGGUGGGACACGCGUGUGUACGUCGGAGUCCUC
Molecule: long non-coding RNA, 363 nt
Organism: Solea solea (common sole)
Lineage: Eukaryota; Metazoa; Chordata; Actinopteri; Pleuronectiformes; Soleidae
Exons: 3
Source: RefSeq, a predicted model, not a curated record